UACGGAGGAGGCAAGCGUUAUCCGGAAUUAUUGGGCGUAAAGCGUCCGUAGGUGGUUAUUCAAGUCAGUUGUUAAAGCGUGGGGCUUAACUCCAUAAGGCAAUUGAAACUGAAUAGCUAGAGUGCGAUAGGGGCAAGGGGAAUUCCCAGUGUAGCGGUGAAAUGCGUAGAUAUUGGGAAGAACACCGGUGGCGAAAGCGCCUUGCUGGGUCUGCACUGACACUGAGGGACGAAAGCUAGGGGAGCGAAAGGG
RNAcentral lists this ribosomal RNA (252 nucleotides) under uncultured bacterium. Its description in RNAcentral is "partial 16S ribosomal RNA". It matches the Rfam family "Bacterial small subunit ribosomal RNA", at positions 524 to 776 of the family's 1533-position model. The record is from RNAcentral.